RNAcentral lists this long non-coding RNA (1089 nucleotides) under Marmota monax (woodchuck). Lineage: Eukaryota; Metazoa; Chordata; Mammalia; Rodentia; Sciuridae. The record is from RNAcentral.
CUUCACUGGUAGUUCAUACUUGGUGACAUAUCAUUUGCAUACUUAAAUCUUUAGACAAUGUUUUUCUUUAGCUUGUUGAACAUAUUUUUAAUUAUUGACUUAAUGUCUGUAUCUACUAAGUCCAACAUCUGAAUUUCCUCAGGGAAUAUUUCUACUGACUUCUUUUUCUGUGUAUGUGUCAUACUUUCCUGUUUAUUUGUAUAUCUUAUCACUUUUUUGUUGAAACUGGACUUUUUACAUGUAGUGAGACAAUUAUGUAAACCAACUUUUCUCCAUUCCACAGUUUAUUUUAGUUGCUGUUUCCUAUUGUUGCUCUUGUUUUUUUUUUUUUUACAUGAUUUUUCUGAACAAAUUCUGUAAAGUUAAUGUGUCCUAUAGUAUGUGGAUAUUGAAGUACCACUUGCUUCACAGUAUGCAGAUAAUAAAUAGAGAAUUCCUUAAAUGCCUCCAACCAACAUGUCUCUAACCCUUUACUAAGGACAUUGUGUGUGCCUGUUGUGGUUCACAUUUAGUACUCAAGUAGUUUACUACUUUUCCUUAGCAGGAAGCAGGAGGCUAAGGCCUCCUGCUUGCACAGAACCUCAUGGAAAUCAAGAGGUAAGCAAUUAGGGUAUUUCCUAAUGUUUCCUGUGACAGCCUACAACUCUGUACAUGCAUGUGAACUUCUAGAUACAAAGGAAUGUGUCAGAGCUUUUCAAAUCUCCCUUUGAGCCUUUGAACAUUAAUUUCUAAGACAUUUACUUUCUCUUCUCCUUCUUUCUUUCCUCCCCCACCCCCUUUCUUUCUUUCUGUUCCUGACUGCUUUAAAUUCUUCAGGCUUUUGUGAGACUCAGUUUCUAUGGAUUCCUGUUGAUUGUGAUUUCCUCACUGAGAGAGCUCUGUGUCAGUUCAAAGAAGUAUAAAUCUUAAAAAUGAGGUUUUUCUAGUGAGCUUCCAGAGAGGUCAAAUAGUUAUAAUUCUCUAGGAAUUAAACAUUUUUGGGGAUUGUACAAAACCCUUUUCUCCUCCCACCACUGCCAUCCUGCUUGUUUUCAAGGAUACCACCGUGUUUCAGGGGAGGAAUAUGGGAAGGAGACAUGUUAAAAUUCC